CCCCGGCCUCCCUGAAGCUCCCCAGGCCCCCUGCCGCCCUCCAGGUGGAUAACGAUGGGGUUCGGAAUACAGAUCUACUUCGAUUUCAUUGGACGCUCAGGCCUUCUGGAAAAGAUUCCUUCAGGUGGAUACUCACUGAGCCAGCCAGCCGGGUGUGGAGUCAUCUCAGUUCCAAUCCUGGUGCUGCUACUGACCAGCUGUGUGCAGCUGAGGAAAUUGCUUGCUACUCUAAGACGGAAUCAGUACCUCUUAAAAUGGCCCAAUGGUAUGUUAUCCUAUAAGGUGAUCGAGAGAAUUAUAU
This is a long non-coding RNA of Eptesicus fuscus (big brown bat), 301 nucleotides long. RefSeq lists it as uncharacterized. The record is from RefSeq and is a predicted model, not a curated record. The transcript has 3 exons. Lineage: Eukaryota; Metazoa; Chordata; Mammalia; Chiroptera; Vespertilionidae.